This 259-nucleotide ribosomal RNA is filed under the name uncultured bacterium. RNAcentral describes it as "partial 16S ribosomal RNA". It matches the Rfam family "Bacterial small subunit ribosomal RNA", at positions 96 to 354 of the family's 1533-position model. The record is from RNAcentral.
CGGCGGACGGGUGAGUAACGCGUGGGUAACCUGCCUUACACAGGGGGAUAACAGUUAGAAAUGACUGCUAAUACCGCAUAACCCGCUAGGGCCGCAUGGCCCGGACGGAAAAGAUUUUAUCGGUGUAAGAUGGACCCGCGUCUGAUUAGCUGGUUGGUGAGGUAACGGCUCACCAAGGCGACGAUCAGUAGCCGACCUGAGAGGGUGAUCGGCCACAUUGGGACUGAGACGCGGCCCAAACUCCUACGGGAGGCAGCAG